AAACACUGCCUAGAUCAUGGAUUACAAAUCACAGAGGGUUCACACACCGAGCAGAAAUUAAAACAUAUUGCAGGUAUUAAAAGCCACUCUGACUCUUCAGAGGUUGAAAGCCCUGAUCCAUCAAGCACCAACCUCAGGAGCCAGGAGGCAAUUUUCCACCUGAGGCUGACUCAGCCAGACCCUCAGCCAAGAGCAGGUGUUGAGGAACAGACCCUGGCAUGGCACUUAGCCCCAAGACUCAGUGACACAUCUGAAGAGCAGAGCAAGGAAGAUCUGUUCAGCUCCUCAAGAAGCAAGGACUCCAGUGCCCCUAAAUGAUCUGGGCCUGCAGCUGGGCUAUUUAAGGGCAGCUGCUAGAGACCAGCCUUCCACUAGAAACAAUCACCAGGGCUGGACCUGCAUUCCUGUAUCCUUGCUUUCUGCUCGACUUUUUGGCAUUGGGUUCCUGGACUACUGCUGUCUCACCCUGUUUUCCUGAACCUGCACUACAUUGGCUGCCUGCUUUCCAGCCCGACCCCUUGUCCCCUUCAACUACAGCUCUGAAUUGGACUGUGUACCAGCUGCACCGUGCUCUGCUAACAGCUCUGCAUGAAGCAGCUGAAGCAAAAUAGGUCAUCUCUCUUGAAAUACUACAGUACAUCUGAGUCAGGUGUCCUGCAGAGAUUGGACUACACUUUCUAUUGGCUAUACUGAGAGGGCACCAACAGGUCUUCAAGUGGAGAUUAUUUAAGUCUAUAAUUUUGCUAAAUGUAUAACUAAGAUGAUGGAGUUUCUCAGAAGAAUUAUAUUCAUAAUACUGUGCCAUGAGUACACAAAGGCAGUCUUGAUUUCUACAUGUUUUGUUGGAAGUGGGAGAAAAGUUAAUUGGAGAGAGAGGUCCUGGGAGUUAUCAAAGUUUAAGCUGCAUCUGUUGUCACAGCCAUCUGUUAAAUUAUUUUAAUAGCAAUCUUAAAUGCCACUGAACUCACAGAUUGGAAAACUAUCUGUUGGCAUAUAUUUAGUUGUAUAAUUAAAGAACAAAUAAAAGAAAAUUAAUGGUAUAUUUUUAAAAAUCAGGAAUCUGCUCAUGUGUGACGUUAAGUAUUUUUGCAAUCAAAUUCUUUUACUAAUUCCUAAGGCUUUUAAUUUUCUUUGUACUGGGAAAAAUCCAAAAUCAUCUUGUUGACUAGAUGACCACCAAAUUUGGCUUGUCUUACAUGUAUAUUAAAAAUCUCAACAAUUAUGUAUUGUUUUAUAUUUACAACAAAAAAAUAAA
Molecule: non-coding RNA, 1255 nt
Organism: Python bivittatus (Burmese python)
Lineage: Eukaryota; Metazoa; Chordata; Lepidosauria; Squamata; Pythonidae
Source: RefSeq, a predicted model, not a curated record